GACGAACGCUGGCGGCGUGCUUAACACAUGCAAGUCGAACGGAAAGGCCCUGCUUUUGUGGGGUGCUCGAGUGGCGAACGGGUGAGUAACACGUGAGUAACCUGCCCUUGACUUUGGGAUAACUUCAGGAAACUGGGGCUAAUACCGGAUAGGAGCUCCUGCUGCAUGGUGGGGGUUGGAAAGUUUCGGCGGUUGGGGAUGGACUCGCGGCUUAUCAGCUUGUUGGUGGGGUAGUGGCUUACCAAGGCUUUGACGGGUAGCCGGCCUGAGAGGGUGACCGGCGACAUUGGGACUGAGAUACGGCCCAGACUCCUACGGGAGGCAGCAGUGGGGAAGAUUGCACAAUGGGCGGAAGCCUGAUGCAGCAACGCCGCGUGCGGGAUGACGGCCUUCGGGUUGUAAACCGCUUUCGCCUGUGACGAAGCGUGAGUGACGGUAAUGGGUAAAGAAGCACCGGCUAACUACGUG
This 468-nucleotide ribosomal RNA is filed under the name uncultured bacterium. RNAcentral's name for it is "partial 16S ribosomal RNA". It matches the Rfam family "Bacterial small subunit ribosomal RNA", at positions 28 to 507 of the family's 1533-position model. The record is from RNAcentral.